This 442-nucleotide ribosomal RNA is filed under the name uncultured bacterium. RNAcentral describes it as "partial 16S ribosomal RNA". It matches the Rfam family "Bacterial small subunit ribosomal RNA", at positions 338 to 795 of the family's 1533-position model. The record is from RNAcentral.
CCUACGGGAGGCAGCAGUGGGGAAUAUUGGGCAAUGGGCGCAAGCCUGACCCAGCAACGCCGCGUGAAGGAAGAAGGCUUUCGGGUUGUAAACUUCUUUUGACAGGGAAGAGUGGAAGACGUUACCUGUCGAAUAAGCUACGGCUAACUACGUGCCAGCAGCCGCGGUAAUACGUAGGUGGCAAGCGUGGUCCGAAUUUACUGGGUGUAAAGGGAUUGUAGCCGGGUUGACAAGUCAGAUGUGAAAUCCUGGGGCUUAACCGCAGAACUGCAUUUGAAACUGUUUAUCUUGAGUACUGGAGAGGGAGACGGAAUUCCUAGUGUAGCGGUGAAAUGCGUAGAUAUUAGGAGGAACACCAGUGGCGAAGGCGGUCUGCUGGACCGCAACUGACGGUGAGGCGCGAAAGCGUGGGGAGCAAACAGGAUAAGAUACCCGUGUAGUC